Molecule: small RNA, 5172 nt
Filed under: Pan troglodytes (chimpanzee)
Lineage: Eukaryota; Metazoa; Chordata; Mammalia; Primates; Hominidae
Description: retained intron
Source: RNAcentral
GGGGUGAGAGAGAGAGAGUGGCCAGUGCUGGCAGAAAGCACAGCCGCCUCGGGGCUCUGCAUCGUGGUGGGGCCAGGUGGGUCGGCAGGUGCUGGCUUGCGAGGUUGUCCUGCAUGCGGUCACUCGGGUAUUGAAUGAGUGCGAAAGUGGAUUUAAUACAGUCGCUGAGAAAAACAACAGCUUCACGAGACUGACCAGCCUGGUGAGAUAAACAUUUACCGUCAGACACGCUUUAGCUUUCUGGUCAUUGUGUGAGUUCUUUGGCACAUGCGCCCAGCCUCCUUCCCCACAGGGUCUCGCCUGGGGCAUUAGAAGCUGGAUUGUAACAUUUGUUUUAAAAGAUACUUUGUUAGGCUGUUGGUUCUCCUUACAAUCCCGGCUUUCCUUAGCAUGUGGUUCCCUUCAUUGUAUCUGGGUUUUUCUAUCUCAGUCUGUCCUUUAUACAAGCUUUUUCCUCUAGCACUGAUUAUAUUCCCCUUCCCCUUUUUCCAGAAUUCCAAAUUCUGACCUGUGCAUGCAUGCCUGUGUUGAGUACAUGCUGUUUGUCGGAUAUUUGGUGGUGGGGGGAGGGGAUCACAUUUCUGUUACUCUCGCAUUGUUUCCUUAGGAUGGAUUCUUAGAAGUGGAACUUCUUGAUUCAGGGAAUGAACACGUUUGCUAGUUACUGUCAAAAAUGCCUCUUGGAGAAGUUAUGCCGAACCACCCAACUGUCCUGGUCACAGAGCAGGCUUCUCUCGGCUUGGGGCUAGGGUUCUUUCUGGGGUCGUCCUUUUUUUUUUUUUUUUGAGACAGAGUUUUGCUCUUGUUGCUGAGGCUGGAGUGCAGUGGCACCAUCUCGUCUCACUGCAACCUCUGCCUCCUGGGUUCAAGUGAUUCUCCUGUCCCAGCCUUCCGAGUAGCUGGGAUUACAGGGAUGUAGCACCAUGCCUGGCUAAUUUUGUGUUUUUAGUGGAGACGGGGUUUCUCCAUGUUGGUCAGGCUGGUCUUGAACUCCCAGCCUCAGGUGAUCUGCCCGCCUCGGUCUCCCAAAGUGCUGGGAUUACAGGUGUGAGCCACCGUGCGUGGCCUCCCAGGGUCCUUCCUAAUGCAGGCUGCUUUCUCUCAUGUAACCAAGAGACAUACAUUCAUCCCCUACCACGUGCCAGGCUGCACUGCGUGCAAAUGCCCCUGCGCUCACGGGGACUGGAGGGAGCCAGGUGACAUGGAGCCCAGGAAGUGGCCAGAGCUCGGGAGGAAGGCAAAGAGGGGAAGAGGGCAUGCAGUCUUAGGCUUGGGGACCCAGGAGGCCUAGGGAAGCCUUGUAGAUACCCAGGUACAGCAUUUCUGGGAUCAGGAGCCAUGAUCCCAAGGCCUCUAAUACUUCAGAUAUGGCAGGGAGGCCAGGUGGAGAGACCUGGAGGAGUGAGGCCACAGAGUUGGGGGGCCAUGGCCGAGACUUCGGCUUCUAUCCAGAGUCAGAUGGGAGCUGUUGGAGGGUUGUCAGCAGAUGAGGGCCGUGCUCUGACUUGGGUGUUAAUAGGAUCAUGGUAGCUGGCUGCAGGUGUCCUGGGCCAAGGAGCAGGGAGACAGGAGGCAGAGAAGAGGGCGCUGGGUUGGACCUGGGACGCCUGGGGUGGUGAGAGGUGGUCGAUGCUGGUCAUGCUGUGAAGGAGUCUCAGUGAGUUCCAGGCGAAUGAGCAGAUUCAUUUUAGGGAGUGCCUGUGAAGAGCAAACGCUCUUUUUUGGUGUUGCUGCCAGAUCCAAGGAUUAAUGUCGUGCUUGCUGGUGGCCACGUUGUGCCCCGAGAUGAGACCCGGAAGCUGAUGGAAAGCCAAGACAUCUUCACCGGGACUCAGACUGAGCUGAUUGCUGGAGGCCAGCUCCUUUCCUGCCUCUCACCUCAGCCUGCUCCAGGGGUGGACAGUGUCCCAGAAGGAAGCCUGCCAGUGCACGGUGAACAGGCGCUGCCCAAGGACCAGCAAAUCACUGCCUUGGGGAGGGAGGAACCUGUGGCAAUAGAGAGCCCCAGACAGGAUCUUCUGGGAGAAAGCAGGUCUGAACCAGUGGAUGUGAAGCCAUUUGCUUCCUGCGAAGAUUCGGAAGCUCCAGUCCCAGCUGAGGAUGGGGGCAGUGAUGCUGGCAUGUGUGGCCUGUGUCAGAAGGCCCAGCUAGAGCGGAUGGGAGUCAGUGGUCCCAGCGGUUCAGACCUUUGGGCUGGGGCUGCCGUGGCCGAGCCCCAGGCCAAGGGUCAGCUGGCGGGGGGCAGCCUCCUGAUGCACUGCCCUUGCUACGGGAGUGAAUGGGGCUUGUGGUGGCGGAGCCAGGACUUGGCCCCCAGCCCCUCUGGGAUGGCAGGCCUCUCGUUUGGGACACCUACUCUAGAUGAGCCGUGGCUGGGAGUGAAAAACGACCGAGAAGAGCUGCAGACCUGCUUGAUUAAGGAGCAGCUGUCCCAGUUGAGCCUUGCGGGAGCCCUGGAUGUCCCCCACGCCGAACUCGUUCCAACAGAGUGCCCGGCUGUCACCGCUCCUGUGUCGUCCUGCGAUCUGGGAGGCAGAGACCUGUGCGGUGGCUGCACGGGCAGCUCCUCAGCCUGCUAUGCCUUGGCCGCCGACCUCCCUGGGGGCCUGGAAGCAGUGGAGGCCCAGGAGGUUGAUAUGAAUUCGUUUUCCUGGAACCUCAAGGAACUCUUUUUCAGUGACCAGACAGACCAAACGUCAUCAAAUUGUUCCUGUGCUACGUCUGAACUCAGAGAGACACCCUCUUCCUUGGCAGCGGGCUCCGAUCCAGAUGUAGGCAGUCUCCAGGAACAGGGGUCGUGUGUCCUGGAUGACAGGGAGCUGUUACUACUGACCGGCACCUGUGUUGACCUUGGCCAAGGCCGACGGUUCCGGGAGAGCUGUGUGGGACAUGAUCCAACAGAACUGCUUGAGGUUUGUUUGGUGUCCUCUGAGCAUUAUGCAGCAAGCGACAGAGAAAGCCCAGGACGCGUUCCUUCCACGUUGGAUGCUGGCCCUGAGGACACGUGCCCAUCAGCAGAGGAGCCAAGGCUGAACGUCCAGGUCACCUCCACGCCCGUGAUCGUGAUGCGCGGGGCUGCUGGCCUGCAGCGGGAGAUCCAGGAGGGUACCUACUCCGGGAGCUGCUACCAUCGAGACGGCUUACGGCUGAGUAUACAGUUUGAGGUGAGGCGGGUGGAGCUCCAGGGCCCCACACCUCUGUUCUGCUGCUGGCUGGUGAAAGACCUCCUCCACAGCCAACGCGACUCAGCCGCCAGGACCCGCCUGUUCCUUGCCAGCCUGCCCGGCUCCACCCACUCUACCGCUGCUGAGCUCACCGGACCCAGCCUGGUGGAAGUGCUCAGAGCCAGACCCUGGUUUGAGGAGCCCCCCAAGGCUGUGGAACUGGAGGGGUUGGCGGCCUGUGAGGGCGAGUACUCCCAAAAGUACAGUACCAUGAGCCCGCUGGGCAGUGGGGCCUUCGGCUUCGUGUGGACUGCUGUGGACAAGGAAAAAAACAAGGAGGUGGUGGUGAAGUUUAUUAAGAAGGAGAAGGUCUUGGAGGAUUGUUGGAUUGAGGAUCCCAAACUUGGGAAAGUUACUUUAGAGAUCGCAAUUCUAUCCAGGGUGGAGCACGCCAAUAUCAUCAAGGUAUUGGAUGUAUUUGAAAACCAAGGGUUCUUCCAGCUCGUGAUGGAGAAGCACGGCUCCGGCCUAGACCUCUUCGCUUUCAUUGACCGCCACCCCAGGCUGGAUGAGCCCCUGGCGAGCUACAUCUUCCGACAAGUGAGAGCAGGCCAGAGCCGUGUUGGUGUGAACGCAGGCCUGGGUGCCUGGGUCCGGUGGCUGCAAAGAUCAGUGAUCCAUACUCGGUUCUCUCUCUGAGCUGGAUCUAGCCUUCUGUGUGGGGAUUUCAUGGAGUAGGAUAUAUAUUUUGAGAAGAAAAUUCUAUGAUUGAAGUAGAGAAAGUGAGGUUGGGAAGGAAGGAUGAGGCCAGAUACAGUCCUGGAAUGACUGAGAAAGUAUGUUUAAUGGUUAAGGUUUAUUUACAUACAUAAAAUAUGCACAACAAUCAUAAAAAUUAACCAGUAAGGGUUAGGAUGCAGCCAGAGAGUGUCUCAAAGGCAUGUGUGCGGCACAGCGGCCUGCAGGCUGUAAGUGCUCACUGAAUGGUGUCUGUUCAGUUAAUCAACCAGCAAAAUUGAGAUCCUGACAUUCUCACUUUUCAGUAAGUAUUUGUCUUGAUCUGUUUCGUGUCUAAUGACAUAUUGAACUUCGGCCAUUAUUUUAUUGGAAUGGGAGAGUGAUGAUCCAAAUAGGAAGGCACCCUAGCAGAGGGACAGGGGGAAGAAAUGGUAACUCGUGUUGGGUUUUAAGGAGAGGGUGGUGGUUCCAUCCUGUACUGCUCCCAGCUCCCCUGAAAGAACUGGAGAAAUACCAGCAAAGGGCUGUGUAGACAACUCACAUUUGCUCUUGGAUUGUUUGCUGGGGACAACUCGAUUUCUAAUGACAGCUUCCGUGAAUCAACAUUUCUUCCUUAAAGCUACACACACUCGGGUUGUUGGGUUUCCGAAGUUUAGUUUCUCAGGCUCCUACUUGUAAGUUUCAGAUAUUAUGGUUCUGCCAAAAAAGGGUCACCUCUCUCCCUCUUCCGUGUUGGAAGGUGACGCCCUCCCUUUAGUUUGUGGCCAACACUUGUUUCUGAAACUUUUUACAGCAAACGGAGUAUCUGUAUGAGGUUAUGUUGAGGGUCACUUGUUAAAAGCUGCUGCCUGACAGCUGUUAAUUCUGGGGCUAGUGAGACACAUAAUUAUGGUGUUUAUACUCUAAAAUUUUUGCCAAAAGAAUCUCUACCCCUUUUGUAAAUAUAUAGACAUAAAUGUUAUUCUAUGUAAAUACAGAUUCACAAUUUUAUAAAGUAUAUGAUCGCACAUCAAUGUAUGUAGGAAUCAUGCCGGUUCUCAGGGCAUUGCCUGUCAGCUCCAGAUUCAUCAGGACCUGCUCAGCAGCGGGGUCGGGGAGCUGGGCCUGGGAACAGCCCUGGCUUGGUUCAGGCCGCUCCAGGGCAGCAUGGCCAGUCCAGGGCACAGAAGCAUCUGCAGGAAGAGCAGCUUUCUUCAAGUCGCUCUUUAGCCCUUUGUGGUUAAUCUCUCAGUACUAGUUAAUAAAUCUUAAUGAAACUUUCCAUGUUCAA